CCACACUCAACCACCAGGGAUUCCAGAGAAGUAUGUGCAGAUAGUCAAAAGGGAAUAGUCAGGUGAGGGGUGGUGGUGUGAGAGACUGGGACUGGAACUUGGAGCUGUGCUAAGGAAGUUCUGGUUCUAGAUACAGUGCUAGGGGCUGGGACUGGAACCUGGUGUCUGGUUGAGGCUGUAGUGAUGCAGCAGCGGAGUUCUUGUCUGUGGAGGUGGAGGGUCCUACUCUGGUCCACACUACUCCUCCUCAGUCCCCUCAGAGCCACAGGGCAUCUCUUUACCAUUGUAGAAGAUGGCGUGUCUUCAGAGGACGGGAGUGGUGACCCUGGUUUAGACCAAACUGUGAGAGGAGAAAAUUGGAACCCAUGUCUGGAGGGCCAGGAUGUGUUUUCCACGGUCAAAGAGAACAGCAUGAUAGGAGAACUCAUCGCUGAGCUCAACACUGAGCUGACAGCCAAUGAUGUUGUCUGGAGCCUAACUGGGGAGGACGCUGAUUGGUUCUUCCUAGAAAGGCGGAGCAUCAGACUCAAUGCCCCAUUGGAUAGAGUUCUGGACCGGGAGGUGCAGGGCCCAGUCCUGAUGGCAGCGUUGACCUGCUAUGAGGAGGACACCGUGCAGAGUGAGUACAGGAUCAUGGUGGAGAUUCUGAAUGAGAA
This 656-nucleotide long non-coding RNA is filed under the name Salmo salar (Atlantic salmon). RNAcentral describes it as "lncRNA (ENSSSAG00000094620.1)". Lineage: Eukaryota; Metazoa; Chordata; Actinopteri; Salmoniformes; Salmonidae. The record is from RNAcentral.